This 468-nucleotide ribosomal RNA is filed under the name uncultured bacterium. RNAcentral's name for it is "partial 16S ribosomal RNA". It matches the Rfam family "Bacterial small subunit ribosomal RNA", at positions 28 to 507 of the family's 1533-position model. The record is from RNAcentral.
GACGAACGCUGGCGGCGUGCUUAACACAUGCAAGUCGAACGGAAAGGCCCUGCUUUUGUGGGGUGCUCGAGUGGCGAACGGGUGAGUAACACGUGAGUAACCUGCCCUUGACUUUGGGAUAACUUCAGGAAACUGGGGCUAAUACCGGAUAGGAGCUCCUGCUGCAUGGUGGGGGUUGGAAAGUUUCGGCGGUUGGGGCUGGACUCGCGGCUUAUCAGCUUGUUGGUGGGGCAGUGGCUUACCAAGGCUUUGACGGGUAGCCGGCCUGAGAGGGUGACCGGCCACAUUGGGACUGAGAUACGGCCCAGACUCCUACGGGAGGCAGCAGUGGGGAAUAUUGCACAAUGGGCGGAAGCCUGAUGCAGCAACGCCGCGUGCGGGAUGACGGCCUUCGGGUUGUAAACCGCUUUCGCCUGUGACGAAGCGUGAGUGACGGUAAUGGGUAAAGAAGCACCGGCUAACUACGUG